This 844-nucleotide ribosomal RNA is filed under the name uncultured archaeon. RNAcentral's name for it is "SSU rRNA". It matches the Rfam family "Archaeal small subunit ribosomal RNA", at positions 474 to 1337 of the family's 1478-position model. The record is from RNAcentral.
UCCCAGCAGUCCAAGUCGCAGCCACAUUUGUUGGGUCUAAAACAUCCGUAGCUUGCCUUUCAAGUCUCUUGUGAAAUCGGGCCUCUUAAGGGUCCGGCGAGCAAGGGAUACUGUUUGGCUAGAGACCGGGGGACGUAAGGAGUACAUUCGGAGUAGCGGUCAAAUGCGUUGAUCCUGAAUGGACUAACAAUAGCGAAGGCACCUUACGAUAACGGUUCUGACAGUGAGGGAUGAAGGCUAGGGGCGCAAAGUGGAUUAGAUACCCAUGUAGUCCUAGCAGUAAACACUGCACACUAAACAUUAGUGCCUCCUCGAGAGGCAUUAGUGCUGUAGGGAAGCCGGAGAGUGUGCUACCUGGGAAGUAUAGCCGCAAGGCCGAAACUUGAAGGAAUAGGCGGGGGAGUACCACAACGGGUGACGCGUACGGUUCAAUUAGAUUCUACACCGUGAACCUUACCAGGAUCGACAGCAGAAUGAAGGUCAGUCUAAAGGGCUUACCUGACACGCUGAGAGGAGAUGCAUGGCCGACGUCAGCCUGUGUCGUGAGAUGACCAGUUAAAUCUGGUAACAGGCGAGACCCGUAUGAAUAUUUGCAUUCGCACAAUAUUCAGACUGCCUGGGUAACCAGGAGGAAGGUGCGGGCUACGUUAGGUGAGUACGUCCCAAAUACCCUGGGUAACACGCGCGCGUCAAUGCUGCACUCAAAGGGAUGCAACACCGAAAGGUGUAGCCAAUCUCAUAAAAUGCAGCCUAGUUCAGAUCGAGGGUUGCAACUCACCCUCGUGACGCUGGAAUUCGUAGUAAUCGGAUUUUAUCAGAGUCCGGUGAAUAGGUCCCUGCUCCU